Cicer arietinum (chickpea) is the source of this 545-nucleotide long non-coding RNA. RefSeq lists it as uncharacterized. Lineage: Eukaryota; Viridiplantae; Streptophyta; Magnoliopsida; Fabales; Fabaceae. The record is from RefSeq and is a predicted model, not a curated record.
AAAGGGACAAACAUAAUCCUUCGCUGUACUAAAAACUAUUCAAUUGAAAUAAGCAUAGCGUGCGGUUUUUCACAAUAUAAAGUGAUCAAACAAUUUUGUAUUUGUUGCAUGCAAAAGUAGAGUAAAAAAUGGCUAAAACUCUCAAGGUUUUUUAUACUAUGAUCCUUUUAGUGUUCUUAUGUCUUGCUCUAGUCGAUGUUGGUGCUCUGAAAUGUAUGUCACACAUGGAUUGUGAAUAUUGCAAAGAUGGAGUUUGCAUAGAUGGUUAUUGUAAGUGCUUGAUAAGUGGUUAUAGUACAAAUAAAGGUUAAAUUGAACAUGAUCACGACAAGCAAGCGAUGGAGCUUUUCUUGUGGAACUAAAGUACUAGAGACUAGUACUUCACUUUAUUUUAAGAUUUUUUUUACUAUCGUUGAUUUUCUGGUAUGGGUAGAGAUCUUUGAUAUUCAAUAGUAUCUUUUAAAUCAGCUACUCGAUUUAAUAAUUGUUUGUAUUGUUCAAGUUUUAGUGUUUACACUUGUUUUAUUUUUUAGUUUUCAAAGUUA